AGUGAACGCUGGCGGUAGGCCUAACACAUGCAAGUCGAACGGCAGCACAGUAAGAGCUUGCUCUUACGGGUGGCGAGUGGCGGACGGGUGAGGAAUACAUCGGAAUCUUCUUUUUCGUGGGGGAUAACGUAGGGAAACUUACGCUAAUACCGCAUACGACCUACGGGUGAAAGCAGUGGAUCUUCGGACCUUUCGCGAUUGAAUGAGCCGAUGUCGGAUUAGCUAGUUGGCGGGGUAAAGGCCCACCAAGGCGACGAUCCGUAGCUGGUCUGAGAGGAUGAUCAGCCACACUGGAACUGAGACACGGUCCAGACUCCUACGGGAGGCAGCAGUGGGGAAUAUUGGACAAUGGGCGAAAGCCUGAUCCAGCCAUACCGCGUGGGUGAAGAAGGCCUUCGGGUUGUAAAGCCCUUUUGUUGGGGAAGAAAAGCAGCAGGUUAAUACCCCGCUGUUCUGACGGUACCCAAAGAAUAAGCACCGGCUAACUUCGUG
This 492-nucleotide ribosomal RNA is filed under the name uncultured bacterium. RNAcentral describes it as "partial 16S ribosomal RNA". It matches the Rfam family "Bacterial small subunit ribosomal RNA", at positions 29 to 507 of the family's 1533-position model. The record is from RNAcentral.